RNAcentral lists this ribosomal RNA (446 nucleotides) under uncultured bacterium. Its description in RNAcentral is "partial 16S ribosomal RNA". It matches the Rfam family "Bacterial small subunit ribosomal RNA", at positions 330 to 792 of the family's 1533-position model. The record is from RNAcentral.
UCCAGACUCCUACGGGAGGCAGCAGUGGGGGAUAUUGCACAAUGGGGGGAACCCUGAUGCAGCGACGCCGCGUGGGUGAAGGAGCGUUUCGGCGCGUAAAGCCCUAUCGGCAGGGAAGAAGGAGGACGGUACCUGACUAAGAAGCCCCGGCUAACUACGUGCCAGCAGCCGCGGUAGUACGUAGGGGGCAAGCGUUAUCCGGAUUUACUGGGUGUAAAGGGGGCGCAGACGGCAGCGCAAGCCAGGAGUGAAAGCCCGGGGCCCAACCCCGGGACUGCUCUUGGAACUGCGCGGCUGGAGUGCAGGAGGGGCAGGCGGAAUUCCUGGUGUAGCGGUGAAAUGCGUAGAUAUCAGGAGGAACACCGGUGGCGAAGGCGGCCUGCUGGACUGCGACUGACGUUGAGGCCCGAAAGCGUGGGGAGCAAACAGGAUUAGAUACCCUAGUA